AUUGAACGCUGGCGGCAUGCUUUACACAUGCAAGUCGAACGGCAGCGCGGGCUUCGGCCUGGCGGCGAGUGGCGAACGGGUGAGUAAUACAUCGGAACGUGCCCAGUAGUGGGGGAUAGCUCGGCGAAAGCCGGAUUAAUACCGCAUACGACCUGAGGGUGAAAGCGGGGGAUCUUCGGACCUCGCGCUAUUGGAGCGGCCGAUGGCAGAUUAGCUAGUUGGUGGGGUAAAGGCCUACCAAGGCGACGAUCUGUAGCUGGUCUGAGAGGACGACCAGCCACACUGGGACUGAGACACGGCCCAGACUCCUACGGGAGGCAGCAGUGGGGAAUUUUGGACAAUGGGCGAAAGCCUGAUCCAGCAAUGCCGCGUGUGUGAUGAAGGCCUUCGGGUUGUAAAGCACUUUUGGCGGGAACGAAAAGGACUGUGCCAAUACCACGGUUCGGUGACGGUACCCGCAGAAUAAGCACCGGCUAACUACGUG
RNAcentral lists this ribosomal RNA (484 nucleotides) under uncultured bacterium. Its description in RNAcentral is "partial 16S ribosomal RNA". It matches the Rfam family "Bacterial small subunit ribosomal RNA", at positions 29 to 507 of the family's 1533-position model. The record is from RNAcentral.